RNAcentral lists this long non-coding RNA (469 nucleotides) under Manihot esculenta (cassava). RNAcentral describes it as "long non-coding RNA (MESC_LNC008200)". Lineage: Eukaryota; Viridiplantae; Streptophyta; Magnoliopsida; Malpighiales; Euphorbiaceae. The record is from RNAcentral.
UUUACAGAGAUAUUACAAGGGUUCUAGAAAUCUUACAUACAUCAUCAUCAGAUUAUCUAUAUGCGUAAAUCAUCUAUUGCUUUACACAUUUACGUAUAUAUAUAUAUUUACAGAGAUAUUACAAAGGUUCCAGAAAAUUUUAAGUAGCAAAAUUAUAGUUUUUACACUUGUCAACAAAAGAGUGACUUAAUAAGAUACUAUUAAAGUUCUUUAGAAUUAACUACAGCUAUACUUAAUUAAUUUACUAAAUAUUCUGGAACCUUUAUCGAGAAAACUCUCAAUUCUAACAGAAAUGCCUGCAUAUAUAUAGUUGUAAGAGAUACCGUUUAAAAGGUUUUUUUGGAAGAUAAAUGUAGCCACCAUCAGAUGUUGCUUUCUUCUCAAUCUCCAUAUAAGAAUUAUGCAGCAUCAAAUGAACAAUGACACAGAGGCCAUAUGUGUCCACCUAAGAGUGAAUAAUGAGGAAAUC